Molecule: ribosomal RNA, 463 nt
Filed under: uncultured bacterium
Lineage: Bacteria
Description: bacterial SSU rRNA
Rfam family: Bacterial small subunit ribosomal RNA
Source: RNAcentral
CGAACGCUGGCGGCGAUGGAUUAGGCAUGCAAGUCGAACGAAGCAGCAAUGCUUAGUGGCGCAAGGGUGAGGAACACGUGAGUGACCUACCCGCAAGUUUGGAACAGCUCCUGGAAACGGGAAUUAAUACCGGAUGUGAUCAUGAAGCUGCAUGGUUUCAUGAUUAAAGCAGUAAUGCGCUUGCGGAUGGGCUCGCGUCCCAUUAGCUAGUUGGUGAGGUAACGGCCCACCAAGGCCAUGAUGGGUAGCUGGUCCGAGAGGACGACCAGCCACACUGGGACUGAGAACUGCCCAGACUCCUACGGGAGGCUGCAGUCGAGAAUUUUGGGCAAUGGACGAAAGUCUUGACCCAGCAAUGCCGCGUGCGGGAUGAAGGUCUUCGGAUUGUAAACCGCUGUUUGGAGGGACGAAAAUUGACGGUACUUCCAGAGGAAGCCACGGCUAACUACGUGCCAGCCGCUGC